ACAUUGACCUGGAGAGGUUCUG
This 22-nucleotide microRNA is filed under the name Salmo salar (Atlantic salmon). Its description in RNAcentral is "ssa-miR-216a-3p". Its record names the gene ssa-miR-216a-3p. The record is from miRBase by way of RNAcentral. Lineage: Eukaryota; Metazoa; Chordata; Actinopteri; Salmoniformes; Salmonidae.